This 358-nucleotide long non-coding RNA is filed under the name Homo sapiens (human). RNAcentral's name for it is "LHRI_LNC418.1". The record is from RNAcentral. Lineage: Eukaryota; Metazoa; Chordata; Mammalia; Primates; Hominidae.
GCCGGAGUCCGGAAGCUGACGGCGGUGCGUGGAAAUCGUCGCGGAGUUCAGUGUUUUGCUUUUGGGGAUCACAAACUCAGGGGCACACUGGCCCGGCGGGCGCAUCCAGCCGUUGGCGUAUGUGUGGGCAGAAAAUGCAGACGAGAAAGUGGGUGGCGCUUGGCUAAUGCGGGCUGGAGCCCUUGACUUGGAGUGCCCAGUCCAGCGCCGCGGUCCUACAGAGGCCCCUGGGAUCUGAGCUGGCGAGGGUGGCGCGGCGGGUCCUACCCAAGGCCAGAAAGUUCGCUGCGGUCCCAGCUCUUUUGGGCAGCCUCUCUGAGGUAGAGCUCUCAGACGGUCUUCAGCCCGGUGGAACGCC